AACGAACGCUGGCGGCAUGCCUAACACAUGCAAGUCGAACGAGACCUUCGGGUCUAGUGGCGCACGGGUGCGUAACGCGUGGGAACCUGCCCUUAGGUUCGGAAUAACUCCCCGAAAGGGGUGCUAAUACCGGAUAAUGUCUUCGGACCAAAGAUUUAUCGCCUUUGGAUGGGCCCGCGUUGGAUUAGCUAGUUGGUAGGGUAAAAGCCUACCAAGGCGACGAUCCAUAGCUGGUCUGAGAGGAUGAUCAGCCACACUGGGACUGAGACACGGCCCAGACUCCUGCGGGAGGCGGCAGUGGGGAAUAUUGGACAAGGGGCGAAAGCCUGAACCAGCAAUGCCGCGUGGGUGAUGAAGGCCUUGGGGUUGUAAAGCUCUUUUACCCGGGAGGAUAAUGACAGUACCGGGAGAAUAAGCCCCGGCUAACUCCUU
Molecule: ribosomal RNA, 432 nt
Filed under: uncultured bacterium
Lineage: Bacteria
Description: partial 16S ribosomal RNA
Rfam family: Bacterial small subunit ribosomal RNA
Source: RNAcentral